RNAcentral lists this ribosomal RNA (468 nucleotides) under uncultured bacterium. Its description in RNAcentral is "partial 16S ribosomal RNA". It matches the Rfam family "Bacterial small subunit ribosomal RNA", at positions 28 to 507 of the family's 1533-position model. The record is from RNAcentral.
GACGAACGCUGGCGGCGUGCUUAACACAUGCAAGCCGAACGGAAACGCCUUGCUAUUGUGGUGUGCCCGGUUGGCGGGCUAGUGACUAACCCCCGAGUUGCCUCCCCUUGCUUUACUGAUAACUUCACGAAACUGCGGCAUACUCCAGGAGGGAGCCCCUCUGGCAUGGUGGGGCUUGGAUCGGUUCUGCGAUUGUGGAUGGACUCGCGGCUUACCGGCGUGUUGGUGGGGUAGUGGCUUACCAAGGCUUUGAAGGGUAGCCGGCCUGCGUGGGUGACCGGCGACAAUGGGACUGAGAUACGGCCCAGCCUCCUAUGGGAGGCAGCAGUGGGGAAUAUUGCGCAAUGGGCGGAAGCCUGAUGCAGCAACGACGCGAGCGGGAUGACGGCCUUCGGGUUGUAAACCGCUUUCGCCUGUGACGAAGCGUGAGUGACGGUAAUGGGUAAAGAAGCACCGGCUAACUACGUG